This 378-nucleotide ribosomal RNA is filed under the name uncultured organism. Its description in RNAcentral is "partial 16S ribosomal RNA". It matches the Rfam family "Archaeal small subunit ribosomal RNA", at positions 477 to 851 of the family's 1478-position model. The record is from RNAcentral.
CAGCUCCCCGAGUGGUAAGGGACGAUUAUUGGGGCUUAAAGCGUUCGUAGCCGGGCUUAACAAGUCUUCCGUUAAAUCCAACGAUCUAAUCGUUGGGCCCGCGGGAGAUACUGCUGGGCUAGGAGGCGGGAGAAGCCGACGGUAUUCCCGGGGUAGGGGUGAAAUCCUAUAAUCCCGGGAGGACCACCAGUGGCGAAGGCGGUCGGCUAGAACGCGCUCGACGGUGAGGGACGAAAGCUGGGGGAGCGAACCGGAUUAGAUACCCGGGUAGCCCCAGCUGUAAACGAUGCGGGCUAGGUGUUGGGGCGGCUACGGGCCGCUUCAGUGCCGCAGGGAAACCAUUAAGUCCGCCGCCUGGGGAGUACGGCCGCAAGGCUG